This 495-nucleotide ribosomal RNA is filed under the name uncultured bacterium. Its description in RNAcentral is "partial 16S ribosomal RNA". It matches the Rfam family "Bacterial small subunit ribosomal RNA", at positions 28 to 505 of the family's 1533-position model. The record is from RNAcentral.
GAUGAACGCUGGCGGCGUGCCUAAUACAUGCAAGUCGAGCGAACAGAUGAGGAGCUUGCUCCUCUGACGUUAGCGGCGGACGGGUGAGUAACACGUGGAUAACCUACCUAUAAGACUGGGAUAACUUCGGGAAACCGGAGCUAAUACCGGAUAAUAUAUUGAACCGCAUGGUUCAAUAGUGAAAGACGGUUUUGCUGUCACUUAUAGAUGGAUCCGCGCCGCAUUAGCUAGUUGGUAAGGUAACGGCUUACCAAGGCGACGAUGCGUAGCCGACCUGAGAGGGUGAUCGGCCACACUGGAACUGAGACACGGUCCAGACUCCUACGGGAGGCAGCAGUAGGGAAUCUUCCGCAAUGGGCGAAAGCCUGACGGAGCAACGCCGCGUGAGUGAUGAAGGUCUUCGGAUCGUAAAACUCUGUUAUUAGGGAAGAACAAAUGUGUAAGUAACUAUGCACGUCUUGACGGUACCUAAUCAGAAAGCCACGGCUAACUACG